Molecule: ribosomal RNA, 390 nt
Filed under: Eukaryota sp.
Lineage: Eukaryota
Description: SSU rRNA
Rfam family: Eukaryotic small subunit ribosomal RNA
Source: RNAcentral
CUUUGGACCUAUUUUGUUGGUUUAUAGGACCAGAGUAAUGAUUAAUAGGAACAGUUGGGGACAUUUGUACUUCGUGGCUAGAGGUGAAAUUCUUAGAUUCACGGAAGACAAACAUAUGCGAAAGCAUUUGUCAAGGAUGUUUUCAUUAAUCAAGAACGAAAGUUAGGGGAUCGAAGACGAUCAGAUACCGUCGUAGUCUUAACCAUAAACGAUGCGGACUGGGGAUUGGAGAAUGUUUCUUUAUGACUCCUUCAGAACCCUAUGAGAAAUCAAAGUUUUUGCGUUCUGGGGGGAGUAUGGUCGCAAGGCUGAAACUUAAAGGAAUUGACGGAAGGGCACCACCAGGAGUGGAGCUUGCGGCUUAAUUUGACUCAACACGGGGAAACUCAC